This 450-nucleotide ribosomal RNA is filed under the name uncultured bacterium. Its description in RNAcentral is "partial 16S ribosomal RNA". It matches the Rfam family "Bacterial small subunit ribosomal RNA", at positions 354 to 796 of the family's 1533-position model. The record is from RNAcentral.
GUGGGGAAUCUUCCGCAAUGGACGAAAGUCUGACGGAGCGACGCCGCGUGAGUGAAGAAGGUCUUCGGAUCGUAAAACUCUGUUGUUAGAGAAGAACGUGCAUGAUAGUAACUGAUCAUGUAAUGACGGUAUCUAACCAGAAAGCCACGGCUAACUACGUGCCAGCAGCCGCGGUAAUACGUAGGUGGCAAGCGUUGUCCGGAUUUAUUGGGCGUAAAGGGAACGCAGGCGGUUUUUUAAGUCUGAUGUGAAAGCCUUCGGCUUAACCGAAGAAUAGCAUUGGAAACUGGAAGACUUGAGUGCAGAAGAGGAGAGUGGAAUUCCAUGUGUAGCGGUGAAAUGCGUAGAUAUAUGGAGGAACACCAGUGGCGAAGGCGACUUUCUGGACUGUAACUGACGCUGAGGCUCGAAAGCCAGGGGAGCGAACGGGAUUAGAUACCCUAGUAGUCC